AGCUUUGCGCAGUGGCAGUAUCAUGGCCAAUGAGGUUUAUUUGAGGCGCGAUUAUUGCUAAUUGAAAAAUGACUGCUUCAAUAGGUCCACAAAAGAUCAUUUUAAGCAAGUCAUAUAUCCCUGAU
RNAcentral lists this small nuclear RNA (125 nucleotides) under Mustela putorius furo (domestic ferret). RNAcentral describes it as "U4 spliceosomal RNA". It matches the Rfam family "U4 spliceosomal RNA". From Rfam's summary of the family: U4 small nuclear RNA (U4 snRNA) is a component of the major U2-dependent spliceosome. The structure of U4 snRNA from yeast and human has been reported. Lineage: Eukaryota; Metazoa; Chordata; Mammalia; Carnivora; Mustelidae. The record is from Rfam by way of RNAcentral.